AACAGUAGCUCAACGGUAGAGCGUCUGACUCCAGAUCAGAAAGUUGUGAGUUCAAAUCUUACCUGUUU
This 68-nucleotide transfer RNA is filed under the name Bigelowiella natans. It matches the Rfam family "tRNA". Rfam says of the family: Transfer RNA (tRNA) molecules are approximately 80 nucleotides in length. Their secondary structure includes four short double-helical elements and three loops (D, anti-codon, and T loops). RNAcentral also lists the same sequence under 1 other name. The record is from RNAcentral. Lineage: Eukaryota; Cercozoa; Chlorarachniophyceae.